AGUGAACGCUGGCGGUAGGCCUAACACAUGCAAGUCGAACGGCAGCACAGUAAGAGCUUGCUCUUACGGGUGGCGAGUGGCGGACGGGUGAGGAAUACAUCGGAAUCUACUUUUUCGUGGGGGAUAACGUAGGGAAACUUACGCUAAUACCGCAUACGACCUACGGGCGAAAGCAGGGGAUCUUCGGACCUUGCGCGAUUGAAUGAGCCGAUGUCGGAUUAGCUAGUUGGCGGGGUAAAGGCCCACCAAGGCGACGAUCCGUAGCUGGUCUGAGAGGAUGAUCAGGCACACUGGAAGUGAGACACGGUCCAGACUCCUACGGGAGGCAGCAGUGGGGAAUAUUGGACAAUGGGCGCAAGCCUGAUCCAGCCAUACCGCGUGGGUGAAGAAGGCCUUCGGGUUGUAAAGCCCUUUUGUUGGGAAAGAAAAGCAGCAGGUUAAUACCCCGCUGUUCUGACGGUACCCAAAGAAUAAGCACCGGCUAACUUCGUG
This 492-nucleotide ribosomal RNA is filed under the name uncultured bacterium. Its description in RNAcentral is "partial 16S ribosomal RNA". It matches the Rfam family "Bacterial small subunit ribosomal RNA", at positions 29 to 507 of the family's 1533-position model. The record is from RNAcentral.